This 532-nucleotide ribosomal RNA is filed under the name uncultured bacterium. RNAcentral's name for it is "bacterial SSU rRNA". It matches the Rfam family "Bacterial small subunit ribosomal RNA", at positions 337 to 869 of the family's 1533-position model. The record is from RNAcentral.
UCCUACGGGAGGCAGCAGUGAGGAAUAUUGGACAAUGGGCGAAAGCCUGAUCCAGCUAUGCCGCGUGCAGGAAGACGGCCCUAUGGGUUGUAAACUGCUUUUGUACGGGAAGAAACACCCCCACGUGUGGGGGCUUGACGGUACCGUAAGAAUAAGCAUCGGCUAACUCCGUGCCAGCAGCCGCGGUAAUACGGAGGAUGCAAGCGUUAUCCGGAAUCAUUGGGUUUAAAGGGUCCGUAGGCGGGCAAUUAAGUCAGAGGUGAAAUUCUGCGGCUCGACCGUAGAACUGCCUUUGAAACUGGUUGUCUUGAAUCGUUGUGAAGUGGUUAGAAUGAGCAGUGUAGCGGUGAAAUGCUUAGAGAUUGCUCAGAAUACCGAUUGCGAAGGCAGAUCACUAACAACGUAUUGACGCUGAGGGACGAAAGCGUGGGGAGCGAACAGGAUUAGAUACCCUGGUAGUCCACGCCGUAAACGAUGGAUACUAGCUGUCCGGUCUUCGGACUGGGUGGCCAAGCGAAAGUGAUAAGUAUCC